AAGGACCACGCGCUUGGUUGCCAUUGGCCUGCUUGCACUGUUGGUGUAUGGUGGCAUAAGAAUGUGAGAUUCAAGUUGUUUCAGGGUGUUUUGGUGAACUACAAAAUAGUAGGGAGGGAUAGUUAUGUGAAUAAAUUUGAUACAAAGCCACCAGUGGCAUCACUGUAAUUUGCUGGUGGGCAGCAUGUCUUUGAAAUGGACUACAAGGGCAGAAGGAAAGGAUGCAAAGCCCAUUAGUCAAAUCAGGCCUACUCUUGAUUUGUAAAAGUAAAUAAAAAAAUCUGGGCCUAUUUUUGCCCUCAAUGACUGAAGUUAUUGGUUGUAAUUUAGCUAUGUUUAUUUUCAGCACCAACGUGAACUUGACACAAGUCGUAGCGUUUGGUUGCCCUAUCAAGAUUUUUCACAUCAGGGAAACCAUAAACAGCCCACGUUGGAGAUUUGCCAUUAUUCAUUAGCAAACAGGGCCAGCAAUACAGUCGAUUGCUAGUAAUGCUAUCAGUAAGCCAUGAGUACCUAGCAAACCAUGUAGCACCCACAACACUGACGUUGCCAUUACUUUUGGGGAUCUCGAUUUUGCGAAGUGGUCUACCUUUUUCUUUGGUCGCUAACUUAGCACUGUAACUCAAUGAAUGGAAUGCUUUGUGUAAUUAAACAUGAACAAUGUC
This is a long non-coding RNA of Gadus macrocephalus (Pacific cod), 665 nucleotides long. RefSeq lists it as uncharacterized. The transcript is spliced from 2 exons. The record is from RefSeq and is a predicted model, not a curated record. NCBI's taxonomy places the organism in Eukaryota, Metazoa, Chordata, Actinopteri, Gadiformes, Gadidae.